This 464-nucleotide ribosomal RNA is filed under the name uncultured bacterium. Its description in RNAcentral is "partial 16S ribosomal RNA". It matches the Rfam family "Bacterial small subunit ribosomal RNA", at positions 339 to 795 of the family's 1533-position model. The record is from RNAcentral.
CUACGGGGGGCAGCAGUGGGGAAUAUUGGACAAUGGGGGAAACCCUGAUCCGGCAAUGCCGCGUGUGUGAAGAAGGCCUGCGGGUUGUAAAGCACUUUCGGUUGGGAGGACUGCUUCUAGCACUAAUAUUGUUGGAAGUUGACGUUACCUUCAGAAGAAGCACCGGCUAACUCCGUGCCAGCAGCCGCGGUAAUACGGCGGUGCAAGCGUUAAUCGGAAUUACUGGGCGUAAAGCGCGCGUAGGCGGCUAGAUCAGUCGGGUGUGAAAGCCCCGGGCUUAACCUGGGAACUGCAUCCGAUACUGUCUAGCUUGAGUACAGGAGAGGAGAGUGGAAUUCCACAUGUAGCGGUGAAAUGCGUAGAUAUGUGGAGGAACACCAAUGGCGAAGGCAGCUCUCUGGCCUGAUACUGACGCUGAGGUGCGAAAGCGUGGGGAGCAAACAGGAUUAGAUACCCCCGUAGUC